CCCUCCUUGCUUUUUCUUUUCUUUUAUUUUCUUCCUAAAGAUAGAGCUACUCAAAAAAUAACUAGAAAGAGAGAAACCCACUGAUUGGAUUCAAGGUGUGUUUAUGGGUCAAUGUGUGUUUAAGGCUGAUAUUCAAAAAGCAACAUAGUCACUAGAAAAUAGCAAAAGUUCUAUCCUACAGGUUCAUCAGGACAAAGACAAAAAUUCCUUAAAAUUAUCUCAAAAGAGUGAAGAAUAUCAGAAAAUGUUAACAGACUGGAUAAAAAUGUAGAUAUUCAGGAAAGUCUAAAACCAUUCAUAAUAAGCUCAAAAAUUAAAAGAAGAAAUAAACAAUCUCAAUGAACCUAGUAAAGCCACAUCCACAAGCAUAGGCCAAGUCACACAUGACAGAGAAUGACAGAUCUGAUCCCUGUCUACAGCCAGGGAAGUCUGACACCCUCGCCUGGCCCCCUUCUUGAUAGUAACACUGUGGGGGGCAGAGAGGGGUGACUUGGACUAGGAUACGUAAAGUGAAUCCGGAAAAGAGACAACCUGGAUGAUCAAGCAGGAACUGAUUUAAAGGAAUUGAUGUCUGCUGCUAAGGUGGACUUCAUUUCCCAGCCUCCUUUGUGGCUAGGUGUUGUCAUGUGACUGCGUUCUAGCCAGUGGACAAUGGUAGUAUGAAGCCCUGAGGGCUGAGACCACAUCUGCCUGGUUUUCUGUGGCAGCUGCAGCAUCAACACUGGCUCUUCGAAGAGUAGCAGCUGAUGAACAUUACUCCGGCAAACAAUUUUCUCUGCUAGGAACUGGAUAAAUGCAAAGGAAGGAGGGGAGAGUGUGUCAGACGGGGACCCUGCCCUACUGGAGCACACGCAUCACCACCUGGGUUAGGACGGCCUCACCCGUCCCCUGGACCUUCACCUUAUGUCCCAGAGAGGAGACAUCUGCUAGAGCAAAGAAAAUUCAUUGUCAUAUAAAACAAACAAGAAAACACACACACACAUGUGCACACACACAUACAGAAAGCAAAUAAAACAUUGUUAGAUGAUGUAAAUUGUCA
This 1039-nucleotide long non-coding RNA is filed under the name Homo sapiens (human). Its description in RNAcentral is "HSALNT0371539". The record is from RNAcentral. Lineage: Eukaryota; Metazoa; Chordata; Mammalia; Primates; Hominidae.